Molecule: long non-coding RNA, 446 nt
Organism: Homo sapiens (human)
Lineage: Eukaryota; Metazoa; Chordata; Mammalia; Primates; Hominidae
Exons: 3
Source: RefSeq, a predicted model, not a curated record
AGUGCCAAGGCAGUAGAAUUGUCACACCACCUCUCUGGGUCCAGGGAUAUGUCACAAUCCCAUUUGUGGCCUGGGCCCAGGGAGGAGCAUCAAAUCACUCUGGUGCUGGGUAAAGUGAUAUGUCAUAAUCACACCAGCAGGAAUGUUUAGGGAUGAGAUUAUGCAUCUGGACUGGAAAGAAUCAACACAUCAAAAAUAUUACCAGACUGUGCAAGAUGGCUCAUGCCUGUAAUCCCAGCACUUUGGAGGCCAAGGGAGAAAAAAACUCAGGCCUAAGUGAUUAUAAACCUGCAAUUAACCUCUGGUUACAAAACCAGGAAAUUUACACCUGGAUCAUACAAAUAAGGUGGACCACAAAUCAGGGCCGGGUGCUUUCCAUUUCACCAAUCACGGUUUGUUCAAAUAAACCCGUUAAUGUUUUAACAUUGACUCCCUUUAGUUUUAAC